ACAGCAGUAGCCGCGGUAAGACAGAGGAUGCAAGCGUUAUCCGGAAUGAUUGGGCGUAAAGCGUCUGUAGGUGGCUUUUCAAGUCCGCCGUCAAAUCCCAGGGCUCAACCCUGGACAGGCGGUGGAAACUACCAAGCUGGAGUACGGUAGGGGCAGAGGGAAUUUCCGGUGGAGCGGUGAAAUGCGUAGAGAUGUGGAGGAACACCAGUGGCGAAGGCGACUCUCUGGUCUGUAACUGACGCUGAGGAGCGAAAGCGUGGGGAGCGAACAGGAUUAGAGACCCCCGUAGUCCCUGUCUCUUAUAC
This 305-nucleotide ribosomal RNA is filed under the name uncultured bacterium. Its description in RNAcentral is "partial 16S ribosomal RNA". It matches the Rfam family "Bacterial small subunit ribosomal RNA", at positions 508 to 807 of the family's 1533-position model. The record is from RNAcentral.